This 603-nucleotide ribosomal RNA is filed under the name uncultured fungus. Its description in RNAcentral is "eukaryotic LSU rRNA". It matches the Rfam family "Eukaryotic large subunit ribosomal RNA", at positions 23 to 641 of the family's 3401-position model. Lineage: Eukaryota; Fungi. The record is from RNAcentral.
ACCCGCUGAACUUAAGCAUAUCAAUAAGCGGAGGAAAAGAAACCAACAGGGAUUGCCCUAGUAACGGCGAGUGAAGCGGCAACAGCUCAAAUUUGAAAUCUGGCUCUUUUAGAGUCCGAGUUGUAAUUUGCAGAGGGCGCUUUGGCUUUGGCAGCGGUCCAAGUUCCUUGGAACAGGACGUCACAGAGGGUGAGAAUCCCGUACGUGGUCGCUGGCUAUUGCCGUGUAAAGCCCCUUCGACGAGUCGAGUUGUUUGGGAAUGCAGCUCUAAAUGGGAGGUACAUUUCUUCUAAAGCUAAAUAUUGGCCAGAGACCGAUAGCGCACAAGUAGAGUGAUCGAAAGAUGAAAAACACUUUGGAAAGAGAGUCAAACAGCACGUGAAAUUGUUGAAAGGGAAGCGCUUGCAGCCAGACUUGCUUACAGUUGCUCAUCCGGGCUUUUGCCCGGUGCACUCUUCUGUAGGCAGGCCAGCAUCAGUUUGGGCGGUAGGAUAAAGGUCUCUGUCACGUACCUCUCUUCGGGGAGGCCUUAUAGGGGAGACGACAUACUACCAGCCUGGACUGAGGUCCGCGCAUCUGCUAGGAUGCUGGCGUAAUGGCUGU